AUGCCCUCCUUGCUGUGGUCUCUAACUGUGCUUGUCUUCAGGAAGUGCAGGUUUCCUCACCAGAUGGGAGUCUGGUGGUGGAAGGAGGGGAUUUUGGCAGGAUGGAGCUGGUCACAGAACUUUCUCCCUGGUCCAAGGAAUGGUGCAGAUGAGGUGCACUGUAUGCCAGUGCCUGGACUGCAUGGUCUGAGACUAAAUGAAGUCACUGCCCCUGGAUCCAGACUGGUUUCAAGGAUUGCUGUGAAGCAUCCCUUUGGUGGCUGUGGCACCAACAUCUCUGUGUGAGAGGCUGUUCCCUACUGGAGGAGCACACAGUCUCAACAAGAUAACACCUUAUGGUCUGCUCCACAGUCAAGAAAUGCUUGCUUCUACUCUUUGCAGAGCUAUAUCUGUGCCCUAUAGCCACAGCUGCUCUCACCCCUUCCCCUCAGUGCUGGCUGCAGGCUGAGGAUGUCUCUGUGCCACCUGGCAGCCCCUCAUGCAGUGCCAAUGCUCCCAGUCUCCUUGUCAAGCUGGGCACGUCGGGCUCUGCUCCCCCGGGUAGUUUUGUUCCUUGCCCACCUGAGUGCUGAUGCUAUGGUAAAAAUAACUCUGCACGGAAAUGAGAGCACUGAUUAGGAUUUAAAUAAAAUUUACAUAAAACUCUGCUUUGAGUACUAA
RNAcentral lists this long non-coding RNA (660 nucleotides) under Numida meleagris (helmeted guineafowl). Its description in RNAcentral is "lncRNA (ENSNMEG00000011091.1)". The record is from RNAcentral. Lineage: Eukaryota; Metazoa; Chordata; Aves; Galliformes; Numididae.